UUUAAUUUAGUUACAAUAACAAAUGUUCUAAAUUUUCUAACAUAAAGAUAGGUAGUAGAUUAUAGAUAAAAUUAUAUUGUAAUAUUUUAGAGUAUCAUUUUCAAAUGGGUGUUUAUUUUUCAAAACUUUUUAAGAGAAAUAUGCAGCAUCAUUAGACGUUUCAAAUCUAAAAUGCAUUUUUACGGUGUAUUACUUUAUUCGAAUGCAAGAUUUGAAAAUUUUUAGAAAAAAAAUCAUAUUUUCGAAACAAAUCACGGACUUCAGAAAUUUUGCAAUUUUGUAAUUUUUUGAGUCACUAGUUCUGUUAACGGUGGCAGUUGGGAUGUUGGGGUUGGUUUAUUUUGAUAUUAGGGCGCUGUUCUAGUUGUUGGUCAUGGUUUGGUUGAGUUGCAUUGGUUUAGACGUCGGCUAAUGGUGAAGGGUGUGAAGGAAUGGUGGAUGUGGUUGGUCAUCUCAAAACAGUCUAGUGAUUCAAAGUUUACAAAAAUCAAGAAAAAUCUAAAAAUGCCUUUCUGGAUAUACCUUCCGUUUUUUCUCUACCAACAAUCGUAUUUCAGUCGAUCUAAAAAAUUUUCUUGAUAUAAACAUGAAAAUUCUAUUAUCUUCUAUUCAAAAUUUAACACUUUGCAUUAUAUAAAGUACUGAAAAAAUUCCUAUUUUCCUUCCAAGAUCAUGCUUUUGCUCAAAUACACCUCGUUAGGCUAAUAUGAACCUGAUCCACGGACGAACAUCUUUAAGUAAAUGUUUAUGUUAAAUGUUUAAGUAAGUUGAUUUUAAUUUGAAAAAUCUAGUUUAUUGUCUCUACUAAAUGGUCCUGCUGGCAUUUUUUCCAAAUUUCUUUGUCGUUCUCCAGCAAAAUAUUAAUGCAACUGCUUAUUUUUUAUUAUUUUUUUGACAACACUACCCUCACAAUUUUAUCCACACCAAAUUUUUACUGAAUUUUUAACUAACUGUAUCCUUUAAUGACAUCAUUAAAAAGAUUAAAAGGAAAGUUAAUUUUUACUCGUUAUUUUUGAGUUUAGACUUGUGCUUUGGCCUGCAAACUAUGAUCAAAACAGAAUUAAUUAACUCUUCGAGCGCCGUUCUACAAUUCAUAAUUGCAUGUAAAAAAUGGAAAAAUGCUUUAUAGUUGUGAAAAGUAAAAGCAAAUCAUGGUGGCAUUGGAAAAGAUAAAUUUUAUAUUAAACUGUCAUGGAUGUGCAUGUCAUGUUUACAGCAACGUUUCUAAGUACUAUGAUAGCCAUCCAAACAACUAUGGUUUUAUGAGAAACAGAAUAUUUAUUGAUCAAAAGGCAAUUCCUUUUACGGCAACUCUAAAUGAACAAUUAUUGUACCCUUGUUUCAGAAUAUGAUAUAUAUAUAUGUAUAUAUGAAUAUAUGUUCAAGACAAACUUUAUCGCAUUUCUUAGGCCUCCUUAGUUUAAAAUAUUUUUAGAUGAUUUUCAGCUAUACUGGAUAUUUUUUCACAUUUUAAUCGGAAUCAACUAAUUAUGAACAACGUCAACUUCAGAAGAAACUUUCAUUGAAAUUUUGUGAAAGUCUAAAUUGAGAUAUCUACCCCAUUUGACUUGUUCUUUAUUUUUUUUCUAGGUUUGGUCGCCGAAAGUUUUUCUUUUGUGACAGCUUUUGUUUCCAAGAGGAUUUCUGGGCCGAGUUUUAAAGCUUUUUUAACCUAAUUUGUCUUCAGUUCUUCCCUUUAGGAAAAGAACCUUUUGGAAUGGUUGAUUUGAAAACAUGGUGAGUUUUUUAAUGCCAAGUUCAACUUGCUACCCUUGUGGCAGGCGUUUCAAGGCCGUUUAAUGUUCUAUUCUCUACUUAUUACGUUACAAAAGUAACAAGCCUAAUGAGCAUAUCAAAACAAGUCUUUUAUAGCCUGUAGUAAAUAUCCUGAGAAGAAAAAACUCAAUACUGCAAUUCCUUCAGUUCUAGUUUACCAAUGAUUAAUCCAAACGGAGUAAAAUAUCCAUUUGUACACAACCAAAGUUCAAUCAACCUGAUUUUUAUAAUAUAAACAAAACAUUUCUUUACCAUGUUAUAUUUGCUGUUGUUUUUUACUGUCUUGUAUUAUUUCACACUUUAGAUAAUUUAUUGUCUCUUUAAAAUUCUUUCUAGCUUUGCAUUUGAGUACAGUGAUGGUCCAUGAGAUUGAAAACUACUGUUGUUCAGUGGGUAACUAUUGCAGCAAAGUUUGCAUCCAUAAAAUCAUAAAAUGUUGGUCCGUUUGAACAGAUUUAAAGAUUGUUCUAGCAGCUUCCAGUGAAAAUUCAAGAUUAGAAAGAAAGUAAGUAAAUUAUAACAUAUUUUUUUUGCUGAUUUUUUCUGCGAAAAUUAAAAGAUAGCCAUGAUAAUAGGAUGGAUUAUUGUUCACCUUCUGGGCGUUAUUAUGAACUUAAAUAUUUAUAUACUUUGUGCUUUUCAUAACGAUCAGCAUUAUUUUUACACAAUUCUUAUUUUUAGCCAUUUCAAUUCUAGCCUUAGACACUCAGAGGCAAAGCAGAUUGAUUUAAGAAUGAAAUAGAACUGCAAUUUUUUGGUAUAUUCUUUUCCAUUCGUUAAUAACAAUUAUUAUGAAUUAUUCAGUUUACAAACAUCUUUCUCCUUGGCGAUUAUAUUCUUCAAACAUUGGCUUGACAAUUGGAAGUUGGUUUGAAGGCGAGAUGGUGAAAGACUAUAUUAUCUUACUCGUUGAAGAAGAUGCUUAUAAAGAUUAUUUUGUUUGCAUGUUUUUUGUCAUUUUUGUCUGCCCUUUUGUCAUUUAAUUAUGGAUAUUGAGGGACAUUGAAACGAGAGACAUGAAAAAGGUCUGAGGCUGAUUUUGGAGCUAUGCUAAUACCUUCUGGUGAAUUGCUGAGUGCUGAGUUUGGAAAUGAGUAUCAUUUGACUUCUUGUAUAUCAUAUGUUUCUAAAAAUUAAUCUUUGACAACUGUACAGUCAUAUAUUAUAUCAUUAAAAUUUCUCUCGUGGUGAUUCAAA
Rhopilema esculentum is the source of this 2973-nucleotide non-coding RNA. The record is from RefSeq and is a predicted model, not a curated record. Lineage: Eukaryota; Metazoa; Cnidaria; Scyphozoa; Rhizostomeae; Rhizostomatidae.